AAAUACUACCAGUCAAGUGCUAGGACGGUGAGGAAAGAUAAGCCACGUGGGCGUCAUCAUGGUCUCACUCAACAGAAGAGGCAAGAGAUAAAGGAAGCUUUUGAACUGUUUGACACUGAUGGCUCAGGAACUAUUGAUGCUAAGGAGUUGAAUGUUGCUAUGAGGGCUCUGGGUUUUGAGAUGACCGAAGAGGUAUAAAAUCUGUCAUUUUGUUGGUUUUUUGUUGAUUACGAUUGAAAUAUUUCUUCUCUGAAUACUUGCAAAAAGAUAACCUAUGUUCCUUCCACUAUUCUUUUUCUUCUCUGGGUUCUAA
Spinacia oleracea (spinach) is the source of this 313-nucleotide long non-coding RNA. RefSeq lists it as uncharacterized. NCBI's taxonomy places the organism in Eukaryota, Viridiplantae, Streptophyta, Magnoliopsida, Caryophyllales, Amaranthaceae. The record is from RefSeq and is a predicted model, not a curated record. The transcript has 3 exons.